RNAcentral lists this long non-coding RNA (17563 nucleotides) under Populus tremula. RNAcentral describes it as "long non-coding RNA (PTRE_LNC002406)". Lineage: Eukaryota; Viridiplantae; Streptophyta; Magnoliopsida; Malpighiales; Salicaceae. The record is from RNAcentral.
AACUAUGGGACCAUUGUUAAAGGAUAUUUUGCAUGGACAUUUGCUGACGAUUUUGAAUGGCCGAAUGGUUAUACCAUAAGAUUUGGUCUCUACUACACUGAUUACCAGCAUAACUUGCAUAGAUACCCUAAGAGGUCAGUGCACUGGUUCACAAAUUUUUUGAAGGGAUACAAGUGGAACAAGGAACCAAUGUCGAGCUCUCCACUGCGUUUCUACAGUUCUUCUCCAAGUGAUCAUCAGUACCUGGAUGAGUGAAAAGUCAUUUUUAAAUAAUAACCUGGAUUGCAUAUCCAGAGAAUUAUAAGUUUGUGUUUAAUUAUUGUGCUUGUGUUUGAUGCUUCCAGCAUGGACUAGGAAUUAUCUCUUACCUAGUUUACCAUGACUGGAUUAAAAUUGUGAUGGGACUUAUAAUUAAAUAAAGCUGUGUUUACUUAUUAUCCAGAUCAUGUUUUCCCCUUUUUGCAUCGAUCCUUUGGUAUGUAUAAGAAAAACGUUUGCUUCGUAUUAAUGCAUGUUCAAAUUAAUAUUUAUCAAAUUAUAUAUAUACAAGAAAAUCAUCAGGCUAAUGUUAGAAUUGUUAGACAGUGAGAAUUCAAGACGAACACAAUCAAUGGUAUAAGAUGAAACAGAAAUCAACUUUGAAUUCUAUUUUAUUUGAUCUUAAGGUGUCCUUAUUUAACACCAUUCUUGCAAAACAUAUAUGAAUCACACACUUGUAGAAUUGGUCAAGAAAGCUUGGGAUUUCCUCUCAUAGUAAUAGUUAUUAGAGGAAGAAGCAUCAGCUGAGAAGAUCAUCACUCCAUUGACAUCAAAUCCAUUUGCCUCCAGCAGAUUUAAAGCAUCAAAAAUGCGUCUCCUUGAAUGCCCCUUCCAUUCACUUCAUAGCUAGGUAACAAUUUAUCCUUAUCGAAUUGCAUCAAUGGCAAAACCAAGUAUGAAAUGGAAGUCGAUGUUGUCUUCAACUGGAACAGGAUUGAAUGUCACGGGUGGCACCAAUGUACUCCAUCAUCACCUUCGCAUCUGAUCAGAGUUAGAAUAACAAUGUAUAAAUCAAGAGUUUGUGGAUUUCAGCCGAUAUAGAUUUUCUUUCCAGAGGUGGAGAAAUACUCUUGAUGAUCAUUUCCUGUUUUCUUGUAGAAAAUCAAUUAUACAAAUAAAAAUAAUAGAUGAAAACUCCUGGCCCAAUCAAUAUAAAUAACCUUUGAUCUUAAAGGAAAUACUGGAUUCUAAAGCCCUCUUAUUUCUUUCUUUUUUUAACAAAGAAAAACACGCCGAAGGAGCAGACUGCGUAGGGCCAAUUUUUCCUUUUAUUGCGAAAAUCAAAGGGAAAUAGAUGCACAGUUUGAUGUCCUACAGAAAUCGUAAAAUUUCUAUUGUUUUGACAUAAUCAUAUCUUUGAAUAUCUUGAAAUCCCAAAGAAAAAAAACAAUUAUAUAAAAGCAAGUAUAUAAUCAAUAAAUGAAUCCAUGAACUUUUAUUUUUAUUACAACGGCCGGAUAAAAAGAUUAGUUUUUUUUUUGUUUUUUUUUUUUAUAGUAAUCGAGAAAAAAAAUUAGUUUUAUGUUCUUGAGAUAUUAUUAAAAUCUCAAACAAACAAAAUGUUAUCACAUAAAAGCUCAGAUAUACAUACCACAGCAUUGGUGACCAAGGAGAGCAACUCCAGCAACACAGAGGAGAAAGAGAUGAAGCUUGACCGACCUCAUGGUUUUCUGCUGUUUGUGUGAUUAAUUGUGCAGGUCAAAGGAUUAGUACUGCAUGUUAACCUAUAUAAUAAACUGACAGUAAAUUAAUCUAUUUUUGCGACACUUUCAAGGCAUCAUUGCAGAUUUCUUGUAGAAAAUUAAUCUAUUUUUGCGACACUUUUACUUUUUAAGAGCAUAUUUGCACCACAUUCUCUUAAAUUUUGAAUUUUUUUUGUUAAAAAUUAUUUUUUUUUUGUUUUCAUAUUGUUUUGAUGUGCUAAUAUCAAAAAUAAUUUUUUAAAAAUAAUAAUAAAAACAUUAUUUUGAUGCAUUUAUAAGCGAAAAACACUUUGAAUCACAAUUCCGAACAGGUCACCACAAUCCCAAACAGGUCACCACAAUCCCAAGUUGGGUCAUGACACAUUUGCGCCUAACUCCACAUUGAGCCAAGAAGCGUCUGCGCCUAACUUCAAGUUGGACCAUGAAAAGUCCGCGCCCAACUCCACCCUGGGUCAGGACACGUCCAAGCCCAACUUCAAGAUGAGCCAUGAUUUGUUCCCACCCGACCAUUCUUGGGAUCAGCACGCAAACUAAAAUUAACUCCUCUCAGGUUCAACAUAUAGCUAGAAAGUAACCUCACACUGAGUCUCCCAUGCUCCGGGCCUAGGCUACUAAUUAUGAUACCCAUCACAUCUUAUUAAUUAAUUACAAAUAAACAGUUCAUGCUUAUAUUAAUGAGAUGUGAUGGCACAAACAAUAGAAUAAUAUUAAUUUUAACAAGAUUACAUUUCUACCCCUCACAUAUUAUAUGAAACAAGUCAAGUUAGGUAAUAUAAAAGGAAGCUUGAGUACACAGAAAAAAUGUUCGAAACCUUAUACUCAUAAACAUAAACACAUUCCUUCUUGAUAAGGGAGAAUCUCAUGAUUCUCCAUAACAUACGCUGCUAUCCCUUCUGUUACUGUAAUAUCGCUAAUAUAUAGCUGUAGGAUAAUUACGCAAUUAAUUAUAUCCUCAUCCUUCCUAUUUUAUAACAAUGUAUAGCUGGCGUAUGUUAAUAUAUAAUGAAUACACUUCUCCUCAUUAGGUUAAGGAGACAUUCAACCAUUCUAUUGUCUUGUAAACAUCUUUACUUCUUCUUCUUCCCUAACUUCUAUAUUUUCUUCUCCUUCUUCUUAUAUAUCUUCAUAAAAGCUUAUUAAUACCUUCAUUGCUAUCUUUUUGCCACAUAAAAAUAUAUCGUGUUGACUUGAUCUUCGAAGGGUCCCCAAUCAACACCCUUAGAUGUCUCUAUCGGACACUGUGUAGGUAUUCGUUUAAAAGAAAAUUUACAACCUCUGAAGAAAUUCAUUAAAGGAGAAGUCAAUGUAAUUUAAAAGUGAAGGUCGUAGGACACAUUAUGAAUGAUCUAUAGGGGUUCUCAGAAAAAAUUCCUUCAAGAAUAUUCCUUUCAAUUUUCAAGGCAUAGAAGAUUUAUUUGAAAAUUGGGAUUUGAGUUGAUUUAUCCGGUGGUUAAUUUAGUAAAAUAAAUAUUUUUUAUGGUUAAAAGACUUGAUUUUAAUUAGAUUUCUUUAUAAAUGAGAGGUUUGAAAUUGAAAUCUCUUAGAGAAAAAAAGAGACUAGUACUUGUUGAAUCACUACUCAUUGGCGUUAAUUAAAUUUCUUUUUUUAAUCCACAAUUAAACACUUUUUAAUUGUUAACUUGGAAGUUCUUCGAAGAGUUCAAGUAAUUCUGUGUUUCAAAAUAUUCUAUGGUGAAUAAAGGAUAAAAACCGAUCAACAACUCUCUACAAAUCAACAUAAACCUUCGGUUAGGAUCUAAAUUUAUCCUUCAGUCAUUUUUGAGAUGGAAAAAGCUGAUGAUCUUGUUAUCUUUAUUGCUUUAGGGAUGAGUAUGUAUAUCAUCACUCAUUUAUUGCUCUUCUUUAUUGCUGUGCAAGCAACUUUCUGAUCCGUGCUUGUUUAAAGCUCGAAAUCCAAUCUAUAUCUUUCCUUUUCCCUAUCGGAUCACCUUUAGUGGUUGAUCUGGUUAGCUUUCACGCGUACAGUUUCCAUUUAGACAUAUACGGAAAGAAAGAGGAAUCCCCCAGUCCCAUUUUUCUCUCCUCUGGCCUCCCGUAAAAGCCAUAUUCUUAGGGUUCUUGGACUGAAAUUCUGCAAGCCCUCUUCGAGAGCACCGAGGGACGGGUGGAUACAAGUUUUCCAAAGGAAAUGGACCCUUCCGAAAAACACAUUCAGAGAGCAUGCAUAAUGCUUGGCUUCCUUUUCAAUGACUCCCCCCACUACUACAAUCAUAAUCCUGCUUUUUCUUCGAUGAUAAACCCGGGUUCAUGUAUGAGUGCAAUGCAUGCAGAGCGGUAUAAAGCGAUCCUCAUCCCCCUUUUGAUCAUGUAUCAUUUUUUUUUCUAUUAUUUCUUAGAAGAUAUUGAUGUACAGAUCUGCAGAUUAUAGCUACCAGUUUUCAGAAGAUAUUGUUUUUUCUUGUAAGAACUUAAAAUCAACUGUUUUUAAGGAUUUCCAAACUGAUGCAUGGAGUUGGGAUCGUCGUAAACGCCAGGGAUCAAUUUGUUCAAUUCAUCUUCUUCCAAAACAAUUUAGUCGAUUCCUGCGCUCACAAUUAAUGGACAAUAUUUUAUACUACGCAAAAACUAAAAAAUCAUCAUGAAAGCAAGUUUAGCGUAUGCUUUGAGUAUAUGAUAGCUUUUUUUGAAGUAAACUAGGAUUUAAACUGGAUAUAGAAGUGUUAAUUACCAAUGCUUUAAAUCUUGAGGGAUCUAGUGCUUCACAUUUCAGGGUAUAUCAUCUGUUUGGCUGAUCGUCAGAAUGUUCAUGGAUAUCCAUGCAGAUGCAAUCUUUUGGCGUUUUAAAUGCAAUACUUUAGUUAUCAAAAAAAUAAAUAAAUACCAAAAGCUACUUUUUUAAAUUAAAUUGUUGUCGCCCCACCAAAAAAAGUUUUGGCCACCCAAGAAAAGCAAUUCAGGAAAAGGCCGUAUAUAUCAAAUAAAACAUGAAUGCACAUUUCACGUGUAGAUUAUAAUCUCCACUGUUAGAGCCUCUAUAUAAAGGGUUUGAUCAUAAGAACUUAAACCACAAAGCCUUUGAACAAUAAUCACACUUAGCAGAAAUGGCUAUCAGAGAGAUGUCUCUUCUUUUAGGGUUCUUAGUGUUGCUUAGCUCAUUGGCUCCUACCAUGCCAAUGACAUAUGUUAACUGCACAAUCCCAUAUGAUCCUGCAUUUAGCAGAAAUUCCUUCCCAGAUGGCUUUGUUUUUGGGACUGGCUCAGCUGCCUACCAGGUAGCUAGAAUAUAUGAACUUAUCCUUCAUGGGAUCCAGUCCUGGCAAUAUGUUUUGUUUGUUACUAUAUAUAUAGUUUAUAUUUUAAUCUUGAUUUCUUCAUGCAUGUUUGUUACUAUAGAGUUUAUAUUUUAAUCUUGAUUUCUCUCUUUUUUUAUAUGUAGUUUUAUUCCUAUAUAGGUCAGUGUUGAUGGUCGAAUCUUAUGACAGUAGAGGAAGAAACUAUACAUCGAUCCCUUUUUUAAAGGGCGGGCAUGGAAUGUAUAGUUCCUCUCAAUCAUAAUAUUCAGAAAAACAUCUGUGUAUUUCUAGAUAAAUCAAAGAUAAUACUCAUAUAUUAAGGAGAUUAAGAUAUCCUCUAAAGCAUUACAAGCUAGCUUGCAUCUAUACGUUAUUACUUUAUUUAUUUGUAUAAUAAUAAAAAUAUAAUUUAUUUAUUAUUCUAUUUUAUUUGUCUAAUUAUUUCUCUAUCCUCAUUUGAAUCAUAAAUUAAAUUUCUCUUUUUCCCUCUAUCAUUAGGUCUGAAAAAAAAGAGAAAAAAAAUGGUAUAUAUGGAAAAGAGAGUGUUCAUUCAGCCUAAAAUGUGGACUAAACACAUGCCUAAUAAUGAAUAAAUCAUUGUUAUUAUUACUCUUAUUAACUUUUGGUCCAUCUGGAAGCUCCAUCAAGGCCUUCGGCUAUGGUGGGAGUUGCCUUCUUCAGAUCUAAUCCCACCCCUUCAAGGGUCCAAAACCUUAAAUUCUUUAAGUGGUGAGGAGUUUGCUAGUAAUUUAUGAGUAAAUGACAAGUGUAGGAUUUGAUCUUCUUACUGAUCAGGUCAGAGAAUAUGCUGUAAUAUCUAAUAAUCAUACAGAUCAAAUAGUUAUUGAUCAAUUAAUCCAAAAACUUCUUCAUAAAAAAAACCCCAAAAUUUAAGAUUUGAGGUAAAUUAGCAAACGUAAAUUCCUAUAGUUUUAGUUAGCAGAUAUUGUUCAUAUGUAUUUUGAUAAAACCACGAUAUAGAGUAAUUUUUCAGUAUUUAUUGUUGUGUAUACUAGCAAUUAGGUUUUCAUAUCUAGCUAAUGUUGAAACUAUCUUUGUGCAUAUGGUGUCUAUUCAGUACGAAGGUCAUGCAAACAAAAGUAACAGAGGGCCGAGCAUAUGGGACACAUUUACUCAUGACUAUCCAGGUAUCUCAAGCAUAAAAAGUCUUUGGGAGGAAGGGAGACUGAUUAUGCAAUACCAUGGGCUAUUAUAGUCGGUUCUUAAUCUAUUAUUAUUUAUUAUAAUUUAAGGGGGGAAUUGGCUAUUUUUGUUCUCCAGUAAGUUAUAUUUUUGGAGCUAUAUCAAUUAUAUACAGACUCUCAAACAAAUUAAUUUGAAAUGUUAUUUGGAUGAAACUUUGCAGCCAGAAUAAAAGAUCAUAGCACCGGUGAUGUUGCAAUUGAUUUCUACGAUCUCUACAAAGUAAGGAGUGCUUGACAAUGUUUUUGUUACAAAUGCUUUCUUGGUUCAGCACUUGGUAACAAUGAUUAUGGCAGGAUGAUAUUCGGAAGAUGAAGGACAUGCAUAUGGAUGCCUUUAGAUUCUCCAUCUCUUGGACGAGAGUGAUACCUAGUAAGUUUCUUAUGGCCUAGAUUAGUGGCAUGAGGCGUCAUUUAGGUAUACAAUGUUUGCUUAAUUUUUUUUUAAUUAAUCACAUUUUAUUCUAAUGAUAUAUCUUUUAUAUAUGUGUUUGAAAUAGGUGGGCAGGUGCAAUGGGGAAUAAAUGAUGAGGGAAUCGAGUUCUACAACAACCUCAUUGAUGAAAUCAUAUUGAAUGGUUAGCACAUAUUAACUCUUAUUUCAAAAUAGUUCGGAUUAUAUAUAUAUAGUUGUAUAAUUAAUUUCUUAUGAUCUACUUCAUAUAUACAGGACUUGUGCCUUAUGUGACUCUUUUUCAUUGGGACACUCCUCAAGCAUUGUUUGAUAAGUAUGGAGGUUUUCUAAAUGAAAGCAUUGUGUAAGUUUCAGAUUUAAUUUUUCAUUAAAAAUAUAAACACCAUUAGGAGUGUUUUUCAAGUAUUUGUAUUCGAAUGAAGUCAAGGAUUUUAACUUGUAUGAUGAUGAGUUUUUAUUAUCCAAUCGACAGCAAUGAUUUUCGAGAUUUUGCUGGCUUGUGCUUUCAAAAGUUCGGUGAUCGGGUGAAGCACUGGUUUACUUUGAAUGAGCCAGACACUUACAGUGUUCAUGGCUUUGACUCGGGCGUCGGUGCACCGGGACGAUGCUCGGCGUGGGUGGAUAAAGCAUGCCAAGCUGGAGACUCUGCUACCGAACCUUACAUCGUCACUCAUAAUUUGCUUCGUUCUCAUGCAGCAGCUGUAAAACUGUAUCGGGAAAAGUACCAGGUACGUUCGUAAUAUAACAAAACUGAUGAACCAAAAAGAUUAAUCCAUGAAACAAUUACUGCUUAUCUACAGCAGUCGAGUGAGAUCUUCUUCCUCGUGUUGUCUUCUGUUGAGUCUUGUAAUAAUGGAUUGUACGUAGGAACAACAAAAUGGCAAGAUCGGCAUCACACUCUGUUCCUUUUGGUACGAACCUUAUUCAGAUACCCCAGCAGAUUAUGAGGCAGUUCAAAGAAUACUUGAUUUCAAUCUUGGAUGGUGAGUAUUUCUUACACUACUAUUGUUGAAGUCUUGAUACAAACACAAAAUAAAAAUUGUCCAAAAAACUAAAAGAGAUUUUGAUGUUUCUAGGCACUUGAGCCCAGUCACUUAUGGUGACUAUCCAAGGAGCAUGAGAAGUUUAGUCGGAGAUCGAUUGCCGAAUUUCACUGCCCAGGAAAUUUUAGAUCUUCGAGGAUCUUAUGACAUUCUUGGAUUAAAUUACUAUGGUGCAUACUAUGCACAAAAUCUUACCCAUGUUGAUCCUGAUCCAACUCACCUUCGUUAUGCAACAGAUUCUCAUGUCAAUCUUACUGGUAAACUCACAGUUAAAUUCAUAAUAAUUUGUGAAAUUGGGAGAUAGAAUAUGGAAAGACAAUGAAUUAGCCAACUUAAAACUCUCUGAGAAAGAGAACCUGGACAGAAGUUUUAUGUUCAAAUUUUAUAAAAUAAUGAAAAGAGAAUUAAGAGUUCCUAGGGGAAAACUCAAGAAUAAAUUAAUUUUAAUUUGAGCUUAUUCAAGCUUAGUGCAUUACUAUUCAUCAUUUAUUUUCCUUCUUGUUUCACAGGAGAGAAAAAUGGAAAGCUAAUUGGACCGCAGGUUUGUGCGCAGUAAAACCUUCCUAUAAAAAUUAACAAUCAGAUACAUUACAUUAAUAUGAUUAAAUGCUGAUUAAUUAGCUAAUCACUAGAAAAACACAUGAUUAACACGGUGUUUCUGAACAUGUAUAGGCUGCUUCACCCUGGUUAUAUGUUUAUCCAAAAGGGAUACGAUAUCUUCUGAACUACACCAAGGAUCAAUACAGGAAUCCAACAAUUUAUAUAACUGAAAAUGGUAUGGAAAGUGUUAUCAAAUCUCAAUUUAAGUGCAGUUAACUGUUAUAUUGUUAGACUAAUCGUGAUUUCUUCACUGUUUUGAUCUAUCAUCAGGAGUUUCUGAUUUCAACAACGGAUCCCAGAUAUCAUUGAAGACAGCUCUUAAUGAUACUUGCAGGGCAAAAUACUAUCAUGACCAUCUCAAGAAUGUUCUACGCUCCAUUGAGUGAGUUUAAUCUCUCUCUCUCUCUCUCUCUUGCACACACAGCUAGCAACUGUCUACUAAUUUGACAGUCAAAAAUCUUGGCAGAAACUAUGGGACCAUUGUUAAAGGAUAUUUUGCAUGGACAUUUGCUGACGAUUUUGAAUGGCCGAAUGGUUAUACCAUAAGAUUUGGUCUCUACUACACUGAUUACCAGCAUAACUUGCAUAGAUACCCUAAGAGGUCAGUGCACUGGUUCACAAAUUUUUUGAAGGGAUACAAGUGGAACAAGGAACCAAUGUCGAGCUCUCCACUGCGUUUCUACAGUUCUUCUCCAAGUGAUCAUCAGUACCUGGAUGAGUGAAAAGUCAUUUUUAAAUAAUAACCUGGAUUGCAUAUCCAGAGAAUUAUAAGUUUGUGUUUAAUUAUUGUGCUUGUGUUUGAUGCUUCCAGCAUGGACUAGGAAUUAUCUCUUACCUAGUUUACCAUGAUUGGAUUAAAAAUGUGAUGAGACUUAUAAUUAAAUAAAGCUUUAUGUUUACUUAUUGUCUAGAUCCUGUUUUCCCCUUUUUACAUCGAUCCUUUGGUAUGUAUAAGAAAAACGUUUGCUUCGUAUUAAUGCAUGUUCAAAUAUUUAUCAAAUUAUAUAUAUACAAGAAAAUCAUCAGGCUAAUGUUAGAAUUGUUAGACAGUGAGAAUUCAAGACGAACACAAUCAAUGGUAUAAGAUGAAACAGAAAUCAACUUUGAAUUCUAUUUUAUUUGAUCUUAAGGUGUCCUUAUUUAACACCAUUCUUGCAAAACAUAUAUGAAUCACACACUUGUAGAAUUGGUCAAGAAAGCUUGGGAUUUCCUCUCAUAGUAAUAGUUAUUAGAGGAAGAAGCAUCAGCUGAGAAGAUCAUCACUCCAUUGACAUCAAAUCCAUUUGCCUCCAGCAGAUUUAAAGCAUCAAAAAAUGCGUCUCCUUGAAUGCCCCUUCCAUUCACUUCAUAGCUAGGUAACAAUUUAUCCUUAUCGAAUUGCAUCAAUGGCAAAACCAAGUAUGAAAUGGAAGUCGAUGUUGUCUUCAACUGGAACAGGAUUGAAUGUCACGGGUGGCACCAAUGUACUCCAUCAUCACCUUCGCAUCUGAUCAGAGUUAGAAUAACAAUGUAUAAAUCAAGAGUUUGUGGAUUUCAGCCGAUAUAGAUUUCUUUCCAGAGGUGGAGAAAUACUCUUGAUGAUCAUUUCCUGUUUUCUUGUAGAAAAUCAAUUAUACAAAUAAAAAUAAUAGAUGAAAACUCCUGGCCCAAUCAAUAUAAAUAACCUUUGAUCUUAAAGGAAAUACUGGAUUCUAAAGCCCUCUUAUUUCUUUCUUUUUUUAACAAAGAAAAACACGUCGAAGGAGCAGACUGCGUAGGGCCAAUUUUUCCUUUUAUUGCGAAAAUCAAAGGGAAAUAGAUGCACAGUUUGAUGUCCUACAGAAAUCGUAAAAUUUCUAUUGUUUUGACAUAAUCAUAUCUUUGAAUAUCUUGAAAUCCCAAAGAAAAAAAACAAUUAUAUAAAAGCAAGUAUAUAAUCAACAAAUGAAACCGACCUCAUGGUUUUCUGCUGUUUGUGUGAUUAAUUGUGCAGGUCAAAGGAUUAGUACUGCAUGUUAACUUAUAUAAUAAACUGACAGUAAAUUAAUCUAUUUUUGCGACACUUUCAAGGCAUCAUUGCAGAUUUCUUGUAGAAAAUUAAUCUAUUUUUGCGACACUUUUACUUUUUAAGAGCAUAUUUGCACCACAUUCUCUUAAAUUUUGAAUUUUUUUUGUUAAAAAUUAUUUUUUUUUGUUUUCAGAUUGUUUUGAUGUGCUAAUAUCAAAAAUAAUUUUUUUAAAAUAAUAAUAAAAACAUUAUUUUGAUGCAUUUAUAAGCGAAAAACACUUUGAAUCACAAUCACUACCACAAUCCCAAACAGGUCACCACAAUCCCAAGUUGGGUCAUGACGCAUUUGCGCCUAACUCCACAUUGAGCCAAGAAGCGUCUGCGCCUAACUUCAAGUUAGACCAUGAAAAGUCCGCGCCCAACUCCACCCCGGGUCAGGACACGUCCAAGCCCAACUUCAAGAUGAGCCAUGAUUUGUUCCCACCCGACCACUCUUGGGAUCAGCACGCAAACUAAAAUUAACUCCUCUCGGGUUCAACAUAUAGCUAGAAAGUAACCCCACACUGAGUCUCCCAUGCUCCGGGCCUAGGCUACUAAUUAUGAUACCCAUCACAUCUUAUUAAUUAAUUAUAAAUAAAUAGUUCAUGCUUAUAUUAAUGAGAUGUGAUGGCACAAACAAUAAAAUAAUAUUAUUUUUACAAGAUUACAUUUCUACCUCUCACAUAUUAUAUGAAACAAGUCAAGUUAGGUAAUAUAAAAGGAAGCUUGAGUACACAGAAAAAAUAUUCGAAACCUUAUACUCAUAAACAUAAACACAUUCCUUCUUGAUAAGGGAGAAUUUCAUGAUUCUCCAUAACAUACGCUGCUAUCCCUUCUGUUACUGUAAUAUCGCUAAUAUAUAGCUGUAGGAUAAUUACGCAAUUAAUUGUAUCCUCAUCCUUCCUAUUUUAUAACAAUGUAUAGUUGUCGUAUGUUAAUAUAUAAUGAAUACACUUCUCCUCAUUAGGUUAAGGAGACAUUCAACCAUUCUAUUGUCUUGUAAACAUCUUUACUUCUUCUUCUUCCCUAACUUCUAUAUUUUCUUCUCCUUCUUCUUAUAUAUCUUCAUAAAAGCUUAUUAAUACCUUCAUUCCUAUCUUUUUGCCACAUAAAAAUAUAUCGUGUUGACUUGAUCUUCGAAGGGUCCCCCGGACAUUGUGUAGGUAUUCACUUAAGAGAAAAUUUACAACCUCUGAAGAAAUUCAUUAAAAGAGAAGUCAAUGUAAUUUAAAAAUGAAGGUCGUAGGACACAUUAUGAAUGAUCUAUAGGUGUUCUCAGAAAAAAUUCCUUCAAGAAUAUUCCUUUCAAUUUUCAAGGCAUAGAAGAUUUAUUUGAAAAUUGGGAUUUGAGUUGAUUUAUCCGGUGGUUAAUUUAGUAAAAUAAAUAUUUUUUAUGGUUAAAAGACUUGAUUUUAAUUAGAUUUCUUUAUAAUGAGAGGUUUGAAAUUGGAAUCUCUUAGAGAAAAAAAGAGACUAGUACUUGUUGAAUUACUACUCAUUGGCGUUAAUUAAAUUUCUUUUUUUAAUCCACAAUUAAACACUUUUUAAUUGUUAACUUGGAAGUUCUUCGAAGAGUUCAAGUAAUUCUGUGUUUCAAAAUAUUCUAUGGUGAAUAAAGGAUAAAAACCGAUCAACAACACUCUCUACAAAUCAACAUAAACCUUCGGUUAGGAUCUAAAUUUAUCCUUCAGUCAUUUUUGAGAUGGAAAAAGCUGAUGAUCUUGUUAUCUUUAUUGCUUUAGGGAUGAGUAUGUAUAUCAUCACUCAUUUAUUGCUCUUCUUUAUUGCUGUGCAAGCAACUUUCUGAUCCGUGCUUGUUUAAAGCUCGCAAUCCAAUCUAUAUCUUUCCUUUUCCCUAUCGGAUCACCUUUAGUGGUUGAUCUGGUUAGCUUUCACGCGUACAGUUUCCAUUUAGACAUAUACAGCAAGAAAGAGGAAUCCCCCAGUCCCAUUUUUCUCUCCUCUGGCCUCCCGUAAAAGCCAUAUUCUUAGGGUUCUUGGACUGAAUUCUGCAAGCCCUCUUCGAGAGCACCGAGGGACGGGUGGAUACAAGUUUUCCAAAGGAAAUGGACCCUUCCGAAAAACACAUUCAGAGAGCAUGCAUAAUGCUUGGCUUCCUUUUCAAUGACUCCCCCCACUACUACGUACGUACAAUCAUAAUCCUGCUUUUUCUUCGAUGAUAAACCCGGGUUCAUGUAUGCGUGCAAUGCAUGCAGAGCCAUAUAAAGCGAUCCUCCUCCCCCUUUUGAUCAUGUAUGAUUUUAUUUUCUAUUAUUUCUUAGAAGAUAUUGAUGUACAGAUCUGCAGAUUAUAGCUACCAGUUUUCAGAAGAUAUUGUUUUUCUUGUAAGAACUUAAAAUCAACUGUUUUUAAGGAUUUCCAAACUGAUGCAUGGAGUUGGGAUCGUCGUAAACACCAGGGAUCAAUUUGUUCAACUCAUCUUCUUCCAAAACAAUUUAGUCGAUUCCUGCGCUCACAAUUAAUGGACAAUAUUUUAUACUACGCAAAAACUAAAAAAUCAUCAUCAAAGCAAGUUUAGCGUAUGCUUUGAGUAUAUGAUAGCUUUUUUUGAAGUAAACUAGGAUUUAAAAUGGAUAUAGAAGUGUUAAUUACCAAUGCUUUAAAUCUUGAGGGAUCUAGUGCUUCACAUUUCAGGGUAUAUCAUCUGUUUGGCUGAUCGUCAGAAUGUUCAUGGAUAUCCAUGCAGAUGCAAUCUUUUGGCGUUUUAAUGCAAUACUUUAGUUAUCAAAAAAAUAAAUAAAUACCAAAAGCUACUUUUUUAAAUUAAAUUGUUGUCGCCCCACCAAAAAAAGUUUUGGCCACCCAAGAAAAGCAAUUCAGGAAAAGGCCGUAUAUAUCAAAGAAAACAUGAAUGCACAUUUCACGUGUAGAUUAUAAUCUCCACUGUUAGAGCCUCUAUAUAAAGGGUUUGAUCAUAAGAACUUAAACCACAAAGCCUUUGAACAAUAAUCACACUUAGCAGAAAUGGCUAUCAGAGAGAUGUCUCUUCUUUUAGGGUUCUUAGUGUUGCUUAGCUCAUUGGCUCCUACCAUGCCAAUGACAUAUGUUAACUGCACAAUCCCAUAUGAUCCUGCAUUUUAGCAGAAAUUCCUUCCCAGAUGGCUUUGUUUUUGGGACUGGCUCAGCUGCCUACCAGGUAGCUAGAAUAUAUGAACUUAUCCUUCAUGGGAUCCAGUCCUGGCAAUAUGUUUUGUUUGUUACUAUAUAUAUAGUUUAUAUUUUAAUCUUGAUUUCUUCAUGCAUGUUUGUUACUAUAGAGUUUAUAUUUUAAUCUUGAUUUCUCUCUUUUUUUAUAUGUAGUUUUAUUCCUAUAUAGGUCAGUGUUGAUGGUCGAAUCUUAUGACAGUAGAGGAAGAAACUAUACAUCGAUCCCUUUUUUAAAGGGCGGGCAUGGAAUGUAUAGUUCCUCUCAAUCAUAAUAUUCAGAAAAACAUCUGUGUAUUUCUAGAUAAAUCAAAGAUAAUACUCAUAUAUUAAGGAGAUUAAGAUAUCCUCUAAAGCAUUACAAGCUAGCUUGCAUCUAUACGUUAUUACUUUAUUUAUUUGUAUAAUAAUAAAAAUAUAAUUUAUUUAUUAUUCUAUGUUAUUUGUCUAAUUAUUUCUCUAUCCUCAUUUGAAUGAUAAAUUAAAUUUCUCUUUUUCCCUCUAUCAUUAGGUCUGAAAAAAAGAGAGAGAAAAAAUGGUAUGGAAAAGAGAGUGUUCAUUCAGCUUAAAAUGUGGACUAAACACAUGCCUAAUAAUGAAUAAAUCAUUGUAUUAUUACUCUUAUUAACUUUUGGUCCACUGGAAGCUCCAUCAAGGCCUUCGGCUAUGGUGGGAGUUGCCUUCUUCAGAUCUAAUCCCACCCCUUCAAGGGUCCAAAACCUUAAAUUCUUUAAGUGGUGAGGAGUUUGCUAGUAAUUUAUGAUUAAAUGACAAUGUAGGAUUUGAUCUUCUUACUGAUGAUCAGGUCAGAGAAUAUUCUGUAAUAUCUAAUAAUUAUACAGAUCAAAUAGUUAUUGAUCAAUUAAUCCAAAAUUUUCUUCAUAAAAAAAACCCCAAAAUUUAAGAUUUGAGGUAAAUUAGCAAACUUAAAUUCCUAUAGUUUUAGUUAGCAGAUAUUGUUCAUAUGUAUUUUGAUAAAACCACGAUAUAGAGUAAUUUUUCAUAUCUAGCUAAUGUUGAAACAUCUUUGUGCAUAUGGUGUCUAUUCAGUACGAAGGUCAUGCAAACAAAAGUAACAGAGGGCCGAGCAUAUGGGACACAUUUACUCAUGACUAUCCAGGUAUCUCAAGCAUAAAAAGUCUUUGGGAGGAAGGGAGACUGUGAUUAUGCAAUACCAUGGGCUAUUAUAGUCGGUUCUUAAUCUAUUAUUAUUUAUUAUAAUUUAGGGGGGAAUUGGCUAUUUUUGUUCUCCAGUAAGUUAUAUUUUUGGAGCUAUAUCAAUUAUAUACAGACUCUCAAACAAAUUAAUUUGAAAUGUUAUUUGGAUGAAACUUUGCAGCCAGAAUAAAAGAUCAUAGCACCGGUGAUGUUGCAAUUGAUUUCUACGAUCUCUACAAAGUAAGGAGUGCUUGACAAUGUUUUUGUUACAAAUGCUUUCUUGGUUCAGCACUUGGUAACAAUGAUUAUGGCAGGAUGAUAUUCGGAAGAUGAAGGACAUGCAUAUGGAUGCCUUUAGAUUCUCCAUCUCUUGGACGAGAGUGAUACCUAGUAAGUUUCUUAUGGCCUAGAUUAGUGGCAUGAGGCGUCAUUUAGGUAUACAAUGUUUGCUUAAUUUUUUUUAAUUAAUCACAUUUUAUUCUAAUGAUAUAUCUUUUAUAUAUGUGUUUGAAAUAGGUGGGCAGGUGCAAUGGGGAAUAAAUGAUGAGGGAAUCGAGUUCUACAACAACCUCAUUGAUGAAAUCAUAUUGAAUGGUUAGCACAUAUUAACUCUUAUUUCAAAAUGUUCGGAUUAUAUAUAUAUUUAUAUAGUUUUAUAAUUAAUUUCUUAUGAUCUACUUCAUAUAUACAGGACUUGUGCCUUAUGUGACUCUUUUUCAUUGGGACACUCCUCAAGCAUUGUUUGAUAAGUAUGGAGGUUUUCUAAAUGAAAGCAUUGUGUAAGUUUCAGAUUUAAUUUUUCAUUAAAAAUAUAAACACCAUUAGGAGUGUUUUUCAAGUAUUUGUAUUCGAAUGAAGUCAAGGAUUUUAACUUGCAUGAUGAUGAGUUUUUAUAUAUUAUCCAAUCGACAGCAAUGAUUUUCGAGAUUUUGCCGACUUGUGCUUUCAAAAGUUUGGUGAUCGGGUGAAGCACUGGUUUACUUUAAAUGAGCCAGACACUUACAGUGUUCAUGGCUUUGAUUCGGGCGUUGGUGCACCGGGACGAUGCUCGGCGUGGGUGGAUAAAGCAUGCCAAGCUGGAGACUCUGCUACUGAACCUUACAUCGUCACUCAUAAUUUGCUUCGUUCUCAUGCAGCAGCUGUAAAACUGUAUCGGGAAAAGUACCAGGUACGUUCGUAAUAUAGCAAAACUGAUGAACCAAAAAGAUUAAUCCAUGAAACAAUUACUGCUUAUCUACAGCAGUCGAGUGAGAUCUUCUUCCUCGUGUUGUCUUCUGUUGAGUCUUGUAAUAAUGGAUUGUACGUAGGAACAACAAAAUGGCAAGAUCGGCAUCACACUCUGUUCCUUUUGGUACGAACCUUAUUCAGAGACCCCAGCAGAUUAUGAGGCAGUUCAAAGAAUACUUGAUUUCAAUCUUGGAUGGUGAGUAUUUCUUACACUACUAUUGUUGAAGUCUUGAUACAACACAAAAUAAAAAUUGUCCAAAAAACUAAAAGAGAUUUUGAUGUUUCUAGGCACUUGAGCCCAGUCACUUAUGGUGACUAUCCAAGGAGCAUGAGAAGUUUAGUCGGAGAUCGAUUGCCGAAUUUCACUGCCCAGGAAAUCUUAGAUCUUCGAGGAUCUUAUGACAUUCUUGGAUUAAAUUACUAUGGUGCAUACUAUGCAAAAAAUCUUACCCAUGUUGAUCCUGAUCCAACUCACCUUCGUUAUGCAACAGAUUCUCAUGUCAAUCUUACUGGUAAACUCACAGUUAAAUUCAUAAUAAUUUGUGAAAUUGGAGAUAGAAUAUGGAAAGACAAUGAAUUAGCCAACUUAAAACUCUCUGAGAAAGAGAACCUGGACAGAAGUUUUAUGUUCAAAUUUUAUAAAAUAAUGAAAAGAGAAUUAAGAGUUCCUAGGGGAAAACUCAAGAAUAAAUUAAUUUUAAUUUGAGCUUAUUCAAGCUUAGUGCAUUACUAUUCAUCAUUUAUUUUCCUUCUUGUUUCACAGGAGAGAAAAAUGGAAAGCUAAUUGGACCGCAGGUUUGUGCGCAGUAAAACCUUGCUAUAAAAAUUAACAAUCAGAUACAUUACAUUAAUAUGAUUAAAUGCUGAUUAAUUAGUUAAUCACUAGAAAAACACAUAAUUAACACGGUGUUUCUGAACAUGUAUAGGCUGCUUCACCCUGGUUGUAUGUUUAUCCAAAAGGGAUACGAUAUCUUCUGAACUACACCAAGGAUCAAUACAGGAAUCCAACAAUUUAUAUAACUGAAAAUGGUAUGGAAAAUGUUAUCAAAUCUCAAUUUAAGUGUAGUUAAUUGUUAUAUUGUUAGACUAAUCGUGAUUUCUUCACUGUUUUGAUCUAUCAUCAGGAGUUUCUGAUUUCAACAACGGAUCCCAGAUAUCAUUGAAGACAGCACUUAAUGAUACUUGCAGGGCAAAAUACUAUCAUGACCAUCUCAAGAAUGUUCUACGCUCCAUUGAGUGAGUUUAAUCUCUCUCUCUCUCUCUCUCGCACACACAGCUAGCAACUGUCUACUAAUUUGACAGUCAAAAAUCUUGGCAGAAACUAUGGGACCAUUGUUAAAGGAUAUUUUGCAUGGACAUUUGCCGACGAUUUUGAAUGGCCGAAUGGUUAUACCAUAAGAUUUGGUCUCUACUACACUGAUUACCAGCAUAACUUGCAUAGAUACCCUAAGAGGUCAGUGCACUGGUUCACAAAUUUUUUGAAGGGAUACAAGUGGAACAAGGAACCAAUGUCGAGCUCUCCACUGCGUUUCUACAGUUCUGCUCCAAGUGAUCAUCAGUACCUGGAUGAGUGAAAAGUCAUUUUUAAAUAAUAACCUGGAUUGCAUAUCCAGUGAAUUAUAAGUUUGUGUUUAAUUAUUGUGCUUGUGUUUGAUGCUUCCAGCAUGGACUAGGAAUUAUCCCUUACCUAGUUUACCAUGACUGGAUUAAAAUUGUGAUGGGACUUAUAAU